GAGGAAAGUCCGGGCUCCACAGGACAGAGUGGUCGCUAACGGCGACCGGCCGCAAGGCUCGGGAAAGUGCAACAGAAAGACACCGCCUCCGCGAGCCCGUCUCGCGGCGGUAAGGGUGAAAUGGUGCGGUAAGAGCGCACCAGCGGCGGGGUGACUCGCCGGCUCGGCAAACCCCACUCGGAGCAAGACCAAGCAGAGAGGAGCUGCCUGCCACAAGGCGGCGGCACGGUUCGGUCCGGACCGUCGUUACUCUCGGGUAGGUCGCUGGAGGCGGCGAGCAAUCGCCGUCCUAGAGAAAUGACCAUCGCCGCCCCAGGGGCUGGCACAGAACCCGGCUUA
This 339-nucleotide RNase P RNA is filed under the name unidentified eubacterium clone LGA#8. RNAcentral describes it as "partial ribonuclease P RNA". It matches the Rfam family "Bacterial RNase P class A", at positions 43 to 351 of the family's 367-position model. Rfam says of the family: Ribonuclease P (RNase P) is a ubiquitous endoribonuclease, found in archaea, bacteria and eukarya as well as chloroplasts and mitochondria. Lineage: Bacteria; Pseudomonadati; Planctomycetota; Planctomycetia; Planctomycetales. The record is from RNAcentral.